Molecule: transfer RNA, 72 nt
Filed under: Sterkiella histriomuscorum
Lineage: Eukaryota; Ciliophora; Spirotrichea; Sporadotrichida; Oxytrichidae
Description: tRNA-Lys
Rfam family: tRNA (bases 1-52)
About the family: Transfer RNA (tRNA) molecules are approximately 80 nucleotides in length. Their secondary structure includes four short double-helical elements and three loops (D, anti-codon, and T loops). Further hydrogen bonds mediate the characteristic L-shaped molecular structure. tRNAs have two regions of fundamental functional importance: the anti-codon, which is responsible for specific mRNA codon recognition, and the 3' end, to which the tRNAs corresponding amino acid is attached (by aminoacyl-tRNA synthetases). tRNAs cope with the degeneracy of the genetic code in two manners: having more than one tRNA (with a specific anti-codon) for a particular amino acid; and 'wobble' base-pairing, i.e. permitting non-standard base-pairing at the 3rd anti-codon position.
Source: RNAcentral
GAGCGCCAGACUUUUAAUCUGGUGGUCGAGGGUUCGAUCCCCUCGGUGGGCGCUUCUUUUGCACUUUUUACA